UUAAGUUCAGCGGGUAGUCCUACCUGAUUUGAGAUCAAACGUUCAAAAAGCUGUCCUCGCUGAGGAGAGACAUCUGUGAGCCCCAGCGAACCUCCAUCACUGGAGGUUACCUGGCAGAAAACCACAAGCGUAGAUAGUUAUCACACCUGUGGUGCCACCAAACACUGGUAAGCUGAUUCAUUUGAGAGGAGCUGACAGUA
This 200-nucleotide unclassified non-coding RNA is filed under the name Thelephoraceae sp. Its description in RNAcentral is "partial internal transcribed spacer 2". The record is from RNAcentral. Lineage: Eukaryota; Fungi; Basidiomycota; Agaricomycetes; Thelephorales; Thelephoraceae.